UGAGGAAUAUUGGACAAUGGAGGGAACUCUGACCCAGCCAUGCCGCGUGCAGGAUGAAGGCGUUAUGCGUUGUAAACUGCUUUUAUAUAGGAAGAAAUAGUCCUUGCGAGGAAAGUUGACGGUACUAUAUGAAUAAGCACCGGCUAACUCCGUGCCAGCAGCCGCGGUAAUACGGAGGGUGCAAGCGUUGUCCGGAUUUAUUGGGUUUAAAGGGUGCGUAGGCGGUUUAUUAAGUCAGUGGUGAAAGACGGUCGCUCAACGAUUGCAGUGCCAUUGAUACUGGUAGACUUGAGUAUGAUUGAGGUAGCUGGAAUGGAUAGUGUAGCGGUGAAAUGCAUAGAUAUUAUCCAGAACACCAAUUGCGUAGGCAAGUUACUAAGUCAUAACUGACGCUGAGGCGCGAAAGUGUGGGUAUCAAACAGGAUUAGAUACCCACGUAGUCCCUGAGCGGGCUGGCAAGGCGCAU
RNAcentral lists this ribosomal RNA (466 nucleotides) under uncultured bacterium. Its description in RNAcentral is "bacterial SSU rRNA". It matches the Rfam family "Bacterial small subunit ribosomal RNA", at positions 355 to 825 of the family's 1533-position model. The record is from RNAcentral.